RNAcentral lists this ribosomal RNA (205 nucleotides) under Vibrio cholerae. RNAcentral's name for it is "partial 16S ribosomal RNA". It matches the Rfam family "Bacterial small subunit ribosomal RNA", at positions 1270 to 1474 of the family's 1533-position model. The record is from RNAcentral. Lineage: Bacteria; Pseudomonadati; Pseudomonadota; Gammaproteobacteria; Vibrionales; Vibrionaceae.
AAUCUCACAAAGUACGUCGUAGUCCGGAUUGGAGUCUGCAACUCGACUCCAUGAAGUCGGAAUCGCUAGUAAUCGCAAAUCAGAAUGUUGCGGUGAAUACGUCCCCGGGCCUUGUACACACCGCCCGUCACACCAUGGGAGUGGGCUGCAAAAGAAGCAGGUAGUUUAACCUUCGGGAGGACGCUUGCCACUUUGUGGUUCAUGA